This 430-nucleotide ribosomal RNA is filed under the name uncultured bacterium. RNAcentral describes it as "partial 16S ribosomal RNA". It matches the Rfam family "Bacterial small subunit ribosomal RNA", at positions 29 to 506 of the family's 1533-position model. The record is from RNAcentral.
AGCGAACGCUGGCGGCAGGCUUAACACAUGCAAGUCGAGCGCCCCGCAAGGGGAGCGGCAGACGGGAGAGUAACACGUGGGAACAUACCUUUUGGUUCGGAACAACUGAGGGAAACUUCAGCUAAUACCGGAUAAGCCCUUACGGGGAAAGAUUUAUCGCCGAAAGAUUGGCCCGCGUCUGAUUAGCUAGUUGGUGAGGUAACGGCUCACCAAGGCGACGAUCAGUAGCUGGUCUGAGAGGAUGAUCAGCCUCACUGGGACUGAGACACGGCCCAGACUCCUACGGGAGGCAGCAGUGGGGAAUAUUGGACAAUGGGGGCAACCCUGAUCCAGCCAUGCCGCGUGAGUGAUGAAGGCCUUAGGGUUGUAAAGCUCUUUUGCCCGGGAAGACAAUGACGGUACCGGGAGAAUAAGCCCCGGCUAACUUCGU